GAAUUCACUAGUGAUUCAGGCCUAACACAUGCAAGUCGAGCGGUAGAGAGAAGCUUGCUUCUCUUGAGAGCGGCGGGCGGGUGAGUAAUGCCUAGGAAUCUGCCUGGUAGUGGGGGAUAACGUUCGGAAACGGACGCUAAUACCGCAUACGUCCUACGGGAGAAAGCAGGGGACCUUCGGGCCUUGCGCUAUCAGAUGAGCCUAGGUCGGAUUAGCUAGUUGGUGAGGUAAUGGCUCACCAAGGCGACGAUCCGUAACUGGUCUGAGAGGAUGAUCAGUCACACUGGAACUGAGACACGGUCCAGACUCCUACGGGAGGCAGCAGUGGGGAAUAUUGGACAAUGGGCGAAAGCCUGAUCC
Molecule: ribosomal RNA, 360 nt
Filed under: uncultured bacterium
Lineage: Bacteria
Description: bacterial SSU rRNA
Rfam family: Bacterial small subunit ribosomal RNA
Source: RNAcentral